UUUAGAGCAUGUUUGAGCCCUAUUUUAUUGAAGAAUGCAUUUUGGAAUAGUAAAUUGAUGGAGAAGUGUGGAUAAAAAAUAAAGAAAAGUUUUGGGUUGCGUGUAAUAUUAUUUUAUUGAAGAAUGUGUUGUUGAAAAGAAGAGAGAAAAAAAUGUAUUUUGGAAAUAAUGGGGAUUAAAUAAGGGCUUAAUAGCAAGCGAAUGUAAUUCAUACGGUUGCGGAUUGGCAUUUCUGGUUAAUUUUUGUUUUUGUGGCUUGGUUAUCUUAGUCUCCC
RNAcentral lists this long non-coding RNA (275 nucleotides) under Olea europaea (common olive). Its description in RNAcentral is "long non-coding RNA (OEUR_LNC009257)". The record is from RNAcentral. Lineage: Eukaryota; Viridiplantae; Streptophyta; Magnoliopsida; Lamiales; Oleaceae.